This 580-nucleotide ribosomal RNA is filed under the name uncultured bacterium. Its description in RNAcentral is "partial 16S ribosomal RNA". It matches the Rfam family "Bacterial small subunit ribosomal RNA", at positions 355 to 926 of the family's 1533-position model. The record is from RNAcentral.
UGGGGAAUACUGCACAAUGGGCGCAAGCCUGAUGCAGCCAUGCCGCGUGUGUGAAGAAGGCCUUCGGGUUGUAAAGCACUUUCAGCGAGGAGGAAGGUGGUGAGCUUAAUACGCUCAUCAAUUGACGUUACUCGCAGAAGAAGCACCGGCUAACUCCGUGCCAGCAGCCGCGGUAAUACGGAGGGUGCAAGCGUUAAUCGGAAUUACUGGGCGUAAAGCGCACGCAGGCGGUUUGUUAAGUCAGAUGUGAAAUCCCCGGGCUCAACCUGGGAACUGCAUUUGAAACUGGCAAGCUAGAGUCUCGUAGAGGGGGGUAGAAUUCCAGGUGUAGCGGUGAAAUGCGUAGAGAUCUGGAGGAAUACCGGUGGCGAAGGCGGCCCCCUGGACGAAGACUGACGCUCAGGUGCGAAAGCGUGGGGCAGCAAACAGGAUUAGAUACCCUGGUAGUCCACGCUGUAAACGAUGUCGAUUUUGGAGGUUGUGCCCUUGAGGCGUGGCUUCCGGAGCUAACGCGUUAAAUCGACCGCCUGGGGAGUACGGCCGCAAGGUUAAAACUCAAAUGAAUUGCGGGGUCUAGCUG